AUGGGCAAAGUGCCAUCACAGAAGGACCUCUUUGAGGUUUCAGGUCCUACCUAUUUGACAUACGUUAAUUGGAACUGCCCACACCACCAGCGAUCGGCCAUGGCGAGCCUCGUGCAAGGCGUGUACGUCCUGGAGCGUGACCGGCAACGGAACCGCCAGGGCCCCGACGCCCGCGCGCCGGCGUGGUGGAAGUUCUUCAACUUCGAGCUGCGGCAGGCGCUCGUGGACGCCGCCGACUCCUCCAUCUUCGGCGCGGUGUACGCGUUCCAGCCGCCGUACCACCUCAUCGACCCAGCGGCGGCCGCCAGCGCGCCGCACUACGUCGUCGCCUUCCGAGGGACCGUCACCAAGAAGGCCUCGGCGUCCAGGGACCUCGAGCUCGACCUCCUGCUCGUCCGGAGCGGCAUCGAGCACACCUCCCGCUUCCGCAUCGCGAUGCAGACCAUCCACGACGUCGUGGUUGCCGCCGGGGCGGGGCACGGCCGCGUCUGGCUGGCCGGCCACUCGCUGGGGUCCGCCAUCUCAACCCUCGCCGGAAAGACCAUGGCCCGGGCGGGCGUCGUCCUCACCACAUUCCUCUUCAACGCGCCGUUCCUGUCGGCGCCGGUGGAGAGGAUCCCGCACAAGAAGGUGAAGCAGGGCAUCCGCAUCGCCAAGAGCUUCGUCACGGCCGGGGUGGUCACCGUCCUGCACAAGAGCGGCGGCAGCAGCGACGAAGCCUUCGCGGCGCUGGCGCGGUGGGUGCCGAACUUGCUGGUGAACCCGGCGGACCCCAUCAGCGCGGAGUACGUGGGGUACUUCGACCACCGCAAGAAGAUGGAGGACAUCGGCGCGGGCGCCGUCGGGAGGCUGGCCACGAGGCACUCGGUCAAGGACCUGCUUCUGGGCAUCGGCAAGCCGGAGGGCUGCGAGCCGCUGCACCUGUUCCCUUCGGCCGUCCUGACGGUGAACCGCGGCCCGUCGCCGGACUUCAAGUCGGCCCACGGGAUCCACCAGUGGUGGCGGCCGGACUUGGCCCUGGAGUGCAGGGCCUAUUCCUACGCUUGA
This 1047-nucleotide ribosomal RNA is filed under the name Triticum aestivum (bread wheat). RNAcentral's name for it is "partial small subunit ribosomal RNA". Lineage: Eukaryota; Viridiplantae; Streptophyta; Magnoliopsida; Poales; Poaceae. The record is from RNAcentral.